GGUUGUAUGGAGUAGUUGGUUAACUUAGGAGAUUCUGAUCUAGCAUGUCCUUGAGGCAUGAUGAUUCGAUUCGACUUCUCUUGCCCUGGGUUCGAAUCCCAGUACGACCU
Molecule: transfer RNA, 110 nt
Filed under: Melanopsichium pennsylvanicum
Lineage: Eukaryota; Fungi; Basidiomycota; Ustilaginomycetes; Ustilaginales
Description: transfer RNA-Gln(CTG)
Rfam family: tRNA
About the family: Transfer RNA (tRNA) molecules are approximately 80 nucleotides in length. Their secondary structure includes four short double-helical elements and three loops (D, anti-codon, and T loops).
Source: RNAcentral